Molecule: ribosomal RNA, 157 nt
Filed under: uncultured Udeniomyces
Lineage: Eukaryota; Fungi; Basidiomycota; Tremellomycetes; Cystofilobasidiales
Description: 5.8S ribosomal RNA
Rfam family: 5.8S ribosomal RNA
About the family: 5.8S ribosomal RNA (5.8S rRNA) is a component of the large subunit of the eukaryotic ribosome. It is transcribed by RNA polymerase I as part of the 45S precursor that also contains 18S and 28S rRNA.
Source: RNAcentral
AACUUUCAACAACGGAUCUCUUGGUUCUCGCGUCGAUGAAGAACGCAGCGAAAUGCGAUAAGUAAUGUGAAUUGCAGAAUUCAGUGAAUCAUCGAAUCUUUGAACGCACCUUGCGCUCCUUGGUAUUCCGAGGAGCAUGCCUGUUUGAGUGUCAUGA